CACGGCCAUAUCACGUUGAAAUACCGGUUCUCCUGCAAUCACCGAAGUUAAGCAAUGUUGAGUUUGCUCAAUACCUAGAUGGGUGACCGCUUGAGAAUAC
Molecule: non-coding RNA, 100 nt
Organism: Acanthosepion pharaonis
Lineage: Eukaryota; Metazoa; Mollusca; Cephalopoda; Sepiida; Sepiidae
Source: the annotation of a GenBank genome assembly